CCUACGGGUGGCAGCAGUAGGGAAUCUUCCACAAUGGGCGAAAGCCUGAUGGAGCAACGCCGCGUGGGUGAAGAAGGUCUUCGGAUCGUAAAACCCUGUUGUUAGAGAAGAAAGUGCGUGAGAGUAACUGUUCACGUUUCGACGGUAUCUAACCAGAACGCCACGGCUACCUACGUGCCAGCAGCCGCGGUAAUACGUAGGUGGCAAGCGUUAUCCAGAUUUAUUUGGCGUAAAGGGAACGCAGGCGGUCUGUUAAGUCUGAUGUGAAAGCCUUCGGCUUAACCGGAGUAGUGCAUUGGAAACUGGGAGACGUGAGUGCAGAAGAGGAGAGUGGAACGCAAUGUGUAGCGGUGAAAUGCGUAGAUAUAUGGAAGAACACCAGUGGCGAAAGCGGCUCGCUGGUCGGUAACUGACGCUGAGGUUCGAAAGCGUGGGUAGCAAACAGGAUUAGAUACCCUAGUAGGC
This 465-nucleotide ribosomal RNA is filed under the name uncultured bacterium. RNAcentral's name for it is "partial 16S ribosomal RNA". It matches the Rfam family "Bacterial small subunit ribosomal RNA", at positions 338 to 795 of the family's 1533-position model. The record is from RNAcentral.